ACAGAAGUUAACAAAGUCUGUAAAAGAAACGAGAAGCUUCAGCUGAGGAUGGAUUCCGCAAAAAUUUAAUUAAAUACCAAAGUUCAAGGAUUAACCAAUGGAAAACUUAGAUGUAUUGGUAUCUCUCAACUGCUACCGCCCUUCUGUUUCAGAGUAAUCUUGUCGCCUAAGCUGAGGGCAAUUCCCUGAGUUUUACUCCUAAUCCUGAUGUAACCGCUGAGCUUCCCAUCCGUUGCCUGCUUCUCUAUGCUAACAUUAACCAAAGCAUCCUCCCCAAACACACUCUUUGCAUACAGAUUAGCCGCAAGAAACCCGCAUUCCCCAUCCAAUGCAGAUGGUGGGGUGAGACACUUCAUGUUUGUUGACUUGAUGAUGUGAUUCAGAAACUCCUUCUCAUCCUGAAUGACAGUGUUCACAGCAACCUUGUUUUCCCACUCA
RNAcentral lists this unclassified non-coding RNA (438 nucleotides) under Hevea brasiliensis (rubber tree). Lineage: Eukaryota; Viridiplantae; Streptophyta; Magnoliopsida; Malpighiales; Euphorbiaceae. The record is from RNAcentral.